GACGAACGCUGGCGGCGUGCCUAAUACAUGCAAGUCGAGCGCUGAAGGGUGGUGCUUGUACCAACUGUAUGAGCAGCGAACGGGUGAGUAACGCGUGGGGAAUCUGCCUUUGAGCGGGGGACAACAUUUGGAAACGAAUGCUAAUACCGCAUAAAAACUUUAAACACAAGUUUUAAGAUUGAAAGAUGCAAUUGCAUCACUCAAAGAUGAUCCCGCGUUGUAUUAGCUAGUUGGUGAGGUAAAGGCCCACCAAGGCGAAGAUACAUAGCCGACCUGAGAGGGUGAACGGCCAACAUGGGAACGGAGACAGGCCCAAACCCCCUAGGGGAGGAGCAGGAGGGGAAUCUUGGCAAAGGGGGGAAGUCUUGCCGAAGCAAGCCCGGGGGGUGGAGGAAGGUCUCCGAUCGUAAAACUCCGUUUGUAGGGAAGAAAGUUGGUGGGAGUGAAAAGCUCAUAACGUGACGGUACCUAACCAGAAAGGGACGGCUAACUACGUG
This 497-nucleotide ribosomal RNA is filed under the name uncultured bacterium. RNAcentral describes it as "partial 16S ribosomal RNA". It matches the Rfam family "Bacterial small subunit ribosomal RNA", at positions 28 to 507 of the family's 1533-position model. The record is from RNAcentral.